Molecule: ribosomal RNA, 254 nt
Filed under: uncultured bacterium
Lineage: Bacteria
Description: partial 16S ribosomal RNA
Rfam family: Bacterial small subunit ribosomal RNA
Source: RNAcentral
UACGAAGGGUGCAAACGUUGCUCGGAAUUAUUGGGCGUAAAGCGCACGUAGGCGGCUUUGCAAGUCGGAUGUGAAAUCCCUCGGCUUAACCAAGGAAGUGCAUCCGAAACUGCAGAGCUUGAGUACUUAAGAGGAUCGCGGAAUUCCCGGUGUAGAGGUGAAAUUCGUAGAUAUCGGGAGGAACACCAGUGGCGAAGGCGGCGAUCUGGGGAAGAUACUGACGCUGAGGUGCGAAAGCGUGGGGAGCAAACAGG